CGUAACGCGUAUGCAACCUACCUCUGACUGGGGGAUAGCCUUCCGAAAGGAAGAUUAAUACCGCAUAAAACAGUGAAAUGGCAUCAUUUUAUUGUCAAAACUCCGGUGGUUAGAGAUGGGCAUGCGUAAUAUUAGCUAGUUGGUGAGGUAAUGGCUCACCAAGGCUACGAUAUUUAGGGGGUCUGAGAGGAUGAUCCCCCACACUGGGACUGAGACACGGCCCAG
RNAcentral lists this ribosomal RNA (225 nucleotides) under uncultured bacterium. RNAcentral describes it as "partial 16S ribosomal RNA". It matches the Rfam family "Bacterial small subunit ribosomal RNA", at positions 109 to 334 of the family's 1533-position model. The record is from RNAcentral.